Molecule: ribosomal RNA, 488 nt
Filed under: uncultured bacterium
Lineage: Bacteria
Description: bacterial SSU rRNA
Rfam family: Bacterial small subunit ribosomal RNA
Source: RNAcentral
GAUGAACGCUAGCGACAGGCCUAACACAUGCAAGUCGAGGGGCAGCACGGUGUAGCAAUACACGGGUGGCGACCGGCGCACGGGUGAGUAACGCGUAUGCAACCUGCCUACUACAAGGGGAUAACCCGUUGAAAGACGGACUAAUACCCUAUAACACAGGGGAUCCGCAUGGAUAUAUUUGUUAAAGAUUUAUCGGUAGUAGAUGGGCAUGCGUUCCAUUAGCUUGUUGGUGAGGUAACGGCUCACCAAGGCAACGAUGGAUAGGGGAACUGAGAGGUUGAUCCCCCACACUGGAACUGAGACACGGUCCAGACUCCUACGGGAGGCAGCAGUGAGGAAUAUUGGUCAAUGGACGAAAGUCUGAACCAGCCAAGUCGCGUGAAGGAAGACGGCCCUACGGGUUGUAAACUUCUUUUGUAAGGGAAUAAAUAGUCUUACGAGCUAAGACGUUGCAGGUACCUUACGAAUAAGGAUCGGCUAACUCCGUG